AACCUCCGCAAUGUGAGAAAUCGCGACGGGGGGAUCCCAAGUGCCAUUCUUAACGGGAUGGCUUUUCAUUAGUGUAAAAAGCUUUUGGAAUAAGAGCUGGGCAAGACCGGUGCCAGCCGCCGCGGUAACACCGGCAGCUCUAGUGGUAGCAAUUUUUAUUGGGCCUAAAGCGUCCGUAGCCGGUUUAAUAAGUCUCUGGUGAAAUCCUGUAGCUUAACUGUGGGAAUUGCUGGAGAUACUAUUAGACUUGAGACCGGGAGAGGUUAGAGGUACUCCCAGGGUAGAGGUGAAAUUCUGUAAUCCUGGGAGGACCGCCUGUUGCGAAGGCGUCUAACUGGAACGGUUCUGACGGUGAGGGACGAAAGUUAGGGGCGCGAACCGGAUUAGAUACCCGGGUAGUCCUAACUGUAAACGAUGCGGACUUGGUGUUGGGGUGGCUUUGAGCUGCUCCAGUGCCGAAGGGAAGCUGUUAAGUCCGCCGCCUGGGAAGUACGGUCGCAAGACUGAAACUUAAAGGAAAU
Molecule: ribosomal RNA, 521 nt
Filed under: uncultured bacterium
Lineage: Bacteria
Description: bacterial SSU rRNA
Rfam family: Archaeal small subunit ribosomal RNA
Source: RNAcentral